GAACUAGGCAAUCUAUCCCAGCUCCAGACCUUAUCAUUAAAUGCAAACCAUUUUACUGGUAGAAUACCUGCAUCCCUGGACACUUGAACAAGAAUCAUCUCUCAGGUCCAAUUCCACCGAGCCUUUUCAGCUCUAGCAUGAAUGUUAAACAUAUACUGCUUGACAGCAAUAACCUUUCUGGGGUUAUUCCAGAAUCAAUUGGACUUCUUCAAAAACUCGAAGUUUU
Molecule: long non-coding RNA, 226 nt
Organism: Zingiber officinale
Lineage: Eukaryota; Viridiplantae; Streptophyta; Magnoliopsida; Zingiberales; Zingiberaceae
Exons: 4
Source: RefSeq, a predicted model, not a curated record